RNAcentral lists this long non-coding RNA (965 nucleotides) under Pogona vitticeps (central bearded dragon). Its description in RNAcentral is "lncRNA (ENSPVIG00000013259.1)". The record is from RNAcentral. Lineage: Eukaryota; Metazoa; Chordata; Lepidosauria; Squamata; Agamidae.
UGCCCACAGCCAAAUCCAAUGAGAUCACGUCUGAUUUUAUCUCGGCAGGUGGGAGCCCAUGAUUAGCAUGUUCCACUGAUCUCCUUUCACUCUUAGCUUUUUUUUUAUUUAAAAAAAUUGCCUUCUUUAAGCCGAAACAGCUCACAACUAAGCUUUGGUCCUUGUAAUUAUUAAUGUAGAUUAGAGUCCUCCCCGUAUCUCUGGACUCUGAAGGGGAAGGGAGAAAAUAAUAUUAUGAAGCCCUCUAAUCUGAAUCACUCCCGUUGUAGAUGGAAAGGUUGAGGGAAAUCUAUUUAAGCAGCACCCGAUCUGGGAGGAACGACCUUCAGCGCAGCCUGUAAGGACAAACCGGCACAUGAAACGUCUGCUGAAGAAAGGGAGGACGUUGUUUGAUGGUGCCUUGGCUGGAAGUUCCCCAGUGCCUGUUCAUCACCACAUCCGCCUACAGAUUCCCAGAAUAAAACAUGGGAGUGUAUGGCUGGCCUGUGAUCUGGAUCGUGGAUCCCCUUACCCCAAAAUUUCUCAUCAAGUAACAUGCCAAAGCCAAAAUGUUUGGUAAUUCUACCCUGUUCAUAUAAUUUUUAUUCUCCUCUCUGGAAGGAAGUGCAGUAAUGGGUCUUAAUUCUGGAGUUACAAUUUGCUGAUUAGAUAUCAAGGGCCUCCCAAGAUGGUGACGGCUAUGCGGGAAACGUCUACCUAAAUAUUGUGCCAGCUAAGCUCUUUGGACUGCCACUAUCAUACUCUCACUCUCUCUCACUCUCCUUUCAUAAGAAUCAACUCUACAGAAGAAACCACACAAAGUACUAGUUUGAGAAAAUUAAAGAAACCAACUCUUUGUAAUUUUAGCCACUUUCUAAACAUUCAAACUCUCUUCCAUAGAGUGAUAUGUUUGCUUUUAGUAGCACAUGUGCUCAAUUUAUGGUGCUCCAGAAAAGAUUAGCACAGUCCCUAUGCUCAGAGGAUAU